GAGUUUGAUCCUGGCUCAGAGCGAACGCUGGCGGCAGGCCUAACACAUGCAAGUCGAACGAACUCUUCGGAGUUAGUGGCGGACGGGUGAGUAACACGUGGGAACGUGCCUUUUGGUUCGGAAUAACUCAGGGAAACUUGUGCUAAUACCGAAUGUGCCCUUCGGGGAAAGGAAUUUAUCGCCAUUAGAGCGGCCCGCGUCUGAUUAGCUAGUUGGUGAGGUAAAGGCUCACCAAGGCGACGAUCAGUAGCUGGUCUGAGAGGAUGAUCAGCCACAUUGGGACUGAGACACGGCCCAAACUCCUACGGGAGGCAGCAGUGGGGAAUCUUGCGCAAUGGGCGAAAGCCUGACGCAGCCAUGCCGCGUGAAUGAUGAAGGUCUUAGGAUUGUAAAAAUUCUUUCACCGGGGACCGAUAAAUGACGGUACCCGGAGAAGAAGCCCCGGCUAACUUCGUGCCAGCAGCCGCGGU
Molecule: ribosomal RNA, 470 nt
Filed under: uncultured microorganism
Description: bacterial SSU rRNA
Rfam family: Bacterial small subunit ribosomal RNA
Source: RNAcentral